GGCCGCGUAGUGUAGUGGUUAGCACGCAGGAUUUUGAAACAAAUUUCCUGAGACCUGAGUUCAAUCCUCGGCGGGGCCU
This 79-nucleotide transfer RNA is filed under the name Hypoxylon fuscum. RNAcentral's name for it is "tRNA-Gln". It matches the Rfam family "tRNA". From Rfam's summary of the family: Transfer RNA (tRNA) molecules are approximately 80 nucleotides in length. Lineage: Eukaryota; Fungi; Ascomycota; Sordariomycetes; Xylariales; Hypoxylaceae. RNAcentral also lists the same sequence under 1 other name. The record is from RNAcentral.